AAAAUGGAUUUUAAGUGACAGUGAUGACCAACUCAGUGGUGGAACCAAGAAGAAGCUCCAAAGCACUUCCUAAAGCCAAACUUGUACCAAAAAAUGGUCAUGGUCACUGUUUGGUGGUCUGCUGCCCAUCUGAUCCACUUCAGCUUCCUGAAUCCUGGCGAAACCAUUACAUCUGAGAAGUAUGCACAGCAAAUCAAUGAGAUGCACUGAACACUACAAGGUCUGCAACCGGCAUUGGUCAACAGAAAGAGCCCAGUUCUUCUCCAUGACAACGCCUGAGUGCACAUCACACAACCAACACGAGGUUGGUUUAUCAAAAGAUAAAUGAAUUGAGCUAGGAAGUUUUGCCUCAUCCACCAUAUUCACCUGACCUCUUGCUGACUCAAGCAUCUUGACAACUUUGCAGGAAAAAGCCUUCCACAACCAGCAGGAGGCAGAAAAUGCUUUCCAAGAGUUUACGGAAUCCCGAAGGAUGCAUUUUUACACUACAAGAAUAAACAAACUUAUUUCUUGUUGACAAAAAUGUGUUGAUUGUGGUACCUAUUUUGAUUAAUAAAGAUGUGUUUGAGCCUGUUUAUUAUAAUGACUUAAAAUUCAUGGUCCAAAACCACAAUUACAUUUGUACCAACCUAUUAAUUAAUUAAAUAAUUAAUUUAAAAAAACAGACCUCUGCUACCAUUUACGCCUUCUGCUUCAACUUGAAAAUAAAGAUGAGUCUCACACAAACUGUCCAGAGGAGGGAUUAAUGAACCAAGUUAGCUUCCAUUUUCAAGCCCGCAUCACUAACAUGGCUUCAAGAAAGCUGCUUUUAUGUAGACACUGAGGCCGAGUGGCCAAGGGUGUAGCUUCUCUGUAUGAUUGAAGAAGAGAGUGCUUCUCAGUUCAAAACUAGAAGGCAAAUGUGCUUUGUUAUCACAAGUGUGUGUGUGUUUAGAAGGGUCUAUUAUCAAGGUGGACUUUUGGAAGCCUCCUCUCAACUCAGAUUUAAGUCUCUUAGGUUCAUUCAUAUCAGAUGGCAGGCACAGGCUUCAGACCAGUUCCAUUAAAAUGGUGGAGCACAGUCUUCCUUAUGAGAGUUGUUUGUUUGUUUUAAUGGGCUCCAUUACUGAA
Long non-coding RNA from Cervus elaphus (red deer), 1110 nucleotides. RefSeq lists it as uncharacterized. The record is from RefSeq and is a predicted model, not a curated record. The transcript is spliced from 3 exons. NCBI's taxonomy places the organism in Eukaryota, Metazoa, Chordata, Mammalia, Artiodactyla, Cervidae.